AGGAUUGGCUCUGAGGGCU
Molecule: small nuclear RNA, 19 nt
Filed under: Arabidopsis thaliana (thale cress)
Lineage: Eukaryota; Viridiplantae; Streptophyta; Magnoliopsida; Brassicales; Brassicaceae
Description: snRNA_13685
Source: RNAcentral